Molecule: ribosomal RNA, 234 nt
Filed under: uncultured Actinomycetales bacterium
Lineage: Bacteria; Bacillati; Actinomycetota; Actinomycetes; Actinomycetales
Description: partial 16S ribosomal RNA
Rfam family: Bacterial small subunit ribosomal RNA
Source: RNAcentral
UGGCGAACGGGUGAGUAACACGUGGGUGAUCUGCCCUGCACUCUGGGAUAAGCCUGGGAAACUGUGUCUAAUACCGGAUAGGACCAUGCUUUAGUGUGUGUGGUGGAAAGUUUUUCGGUGUAGGAUGAGCCCGCGGCCUAUCAGCUUGUUGGUGGGGUAAUGGCCUACCAAGGCGGCGACGGGUAGCCGGACUGAGAGGUUGGUCGGCCACAUUGGGACUGAGAUACGGCCCAG